This is a long non-coding RNA of Quercus robur (English oak), 1683 nucleotides long. RefSeq lists it as uncharacterized. The transcript is spliced from 2 exons. The record is from RefSeq and is a predicted model, not a curated record. Lineage: Eukaryota; Viridiplantae; Streptophyta; Magnoliopsida; Fagales; Fagaceae.
CAGCCAAAUCUUGACCCUCAAUUGUAAUAGUUUUAAUCCUGACCGUAUAUAUAAUUUUAGUGAAUACCAAUUACCGGUAGAGCAAGUUUCCAUAUAAAAGCAAAAGCAAAACCUAAAAAAACCAAAACAGCUCUGUUUCUCUCUUGCGUUCACUCAAUUCUGUGGGCGAACCAAGCUUUGUGUCCAUCGAUCUCCUUCCCGCGUUCCUUGGAUUUGCUAACUGGUAAAGGCAAGGAUCAAAACUAAACGCUAAUUUCCAAAUGAUCAGUUUGGCUACAUAUCACUCCUCUCUCUAUUUGAUUUUGAGAUCGUCGAAUAUGGGUAUUGGGUUGAGCUUUGCGAUGAUGAUGAGUUUCUUGUUCCAGCCACUUGUGAUGGGAUUUGGUUAGUUGGUUUCCAUCUAGGUUCUCUUAUUAAUGUAUUUUUUCUCUCUAAUUUGUGAAAUUUACUCUGAAUGCUUUAGGGACUAUAUUUGUUAAGUGGUACUCUGAAUUCAAAACUUUGUGAAUCUGGUGAAAGCGUAGAUGGUCUUAUGUGUAUGAUGAUAAACUGGGCUUUAGGUGUUUGCCAUUGCUUUACUGGUUUUGUAGGAAGUGCUUACAAGUCUUGAGGGCACAUUCAGUGCAAAAGAGAAUUGGAAAUCUGCUUCUUAGAUUACACUCGCAGAAAUUAGUUGUGAUAACUUAUGUUCAUUACUUUUGACUUUUAUGUUAUGGUUGAUAAUGUCUUGGGCAUCAUUUUAGCUAAUAAAUUUAAUUGGGUCAUCAAUUAUUUUUAUUUUCAAUUGUUUAGAAAAGUUGGUAUUGGCAAGUUGGCACAUAAUGUGAAUUAGAAUGCUCACCUGUGCAUUUUAUAGUGGUGGAAGGGUUCUGCAAGUUUGUCACAAUUGGACAUUAAUGUCAUGGAGAACUUUUUUUUUUUUUUUUUUUGCAUGCUUUCUAACAUAAUUAACUUUACUCCAUCUCUUGUAUAAAACCUUGACAUUGAAGGACUUCUAGGAAUAUCUGUUUGAAUGUAAAAAUGUUGACUUGGUGUAGUUGUUGAGGGUUUGAAUGAUCUAAUUAUUUUUAUUGAUUAGUCUAUGAGUCUGUAAACUUUAGGAGCAAUACCAAGAUCUUUGGGUUCCAACAUUAAAGUUCAGAGUUGUCAAAAUAUGACUUGAUUAUUGAUAUUCAGUUAUACUAUUGGCUGAGGACAAUAGCAAAAAUAUUUUAUUUUUGUGUGUAGUAUCAUGUAAUGUCUAAAUUUUGGAGAUACUACUACUAUGUGUGUUGGACUAUGCCCUCAUUUGAUUCUCUGGUUUGACAUAUUUUGAUUAUGUUUUUAUUUCAUAGAUUUGGCUAUUUUUACUUAGUUCCUUUUUUCCCCCUUACUAGGGAGAUGUAGAUAGUGCACUGGAGCAGAAGUCCGACAAUAAUAGAUUAAAGGGAAGAGAGAAUCAAGUUAUCUCUGUGUUUAAGGAAUUCUGUUAAGAGAAAAGAGAGUGUCGUCUAAGGUUGUUGAGUACUGCCAAUCAGUUAUUCAAAACAUUGAUAGCUUUAGCUCUUUCAUGUCUUGUUAUUUAAUUUUGGUUGUUCAACAAUUGUUAGUAUCAAGUUAUGAUAUUUUGCACUCAAUGUUGAACUCAGAUAUUUAAAAUAUUAGCAAAAAUUGAGGUAAAUACCAAGUCUUGAAUUUUAUUUC